Transfer RNA from Felis catus (domestic cat), 85 nucleotides. It matches the Rfam family "tRNA". From Rfam's summary of the family: Transfer RNA (tRNA) molecules are approximately 80 nucleotides in length. Their secondary structure includes four short double-helical elements and three loops (D, anti-codon, and T loops). Further hydrogen bonds mediate the characteristic L-shaped molecular structure. tRNAs have two regions of fundamental functional importance: the anti-codon, which is responsible for specific mRNA codon recognition, and the 3' end, to which the tRNAs corresponding amino acid is attached (by aminoacyl-tRNA synthetases). tRNAs cope with the degeneracy of the genetic code in two manners: having more than one tRNA (with a specific anti-codon) for a particular amino acid; and 'wobble' base-pairing, i.e. permitting non-standard base-pairing at the 3rd anti-codon position. NCBI's taxonomy places the organism in Eukaryota, Metazoa, Chordata, Mammalia, Carnivora, Felidae. The record is from Rfam.
GCCUGGGUGGCUCAGUCAGUUGAGCGUCUGACUUCGGCUCAGGUCAUGAUCUCGUGGUUCACGAGUUCAAGCCCCGCAUCAGGCU